This is a non-coding RNA of Camellia sinensis, 402 nucleotides long. Lineage: Eukaryota; Viridiplantae; Streptophyta; Magnoliopsida; Ericales; Theaceae. The record is from RefSeq and is a predicted model, not a curated record.
GAAGGAUUUGGAUCUGCCGGAGUUUGAUCGGUCUCCGGUGGGACAUUUGUUGGAUGAGAAAGUUAUCAUCUCAGAAAUACGAUGAAAUGGGUUACAUUGUUUAAAGAUUUCAAAGAAUAAGUCGGGUCUUUCUCAGCCUCCUUCCUCUUCUUCUUCAUCUUCCUCGUCCAUUAACCAAGACAACAAUGUCAUUUCAACCACACAAGACUCAUCGGCAUCUUCAUCGUCUUCAAGAAUCUACUAUUGGAUGCCAAAAGAAAGCUUGGUGAAAUUUUAUCUGCAUUUGAAUUUUUGGAUAGCAACUCAAUGGAUCUGAGAGAAGCUUGAGGCCUUCCUACUCCGUUCAAUGGAAGGUGGUUUGAUAUCUGAUGGUGUUCUAGCCCAAGACAUAAUCCAAGCAUU